CUAAAAUGUAUAUGGCUGUUUCAGUUUAUCAGGAGUUGAAAUAGCUAACUAGUAUGUAUUGAAGCAUGGAAAACUGUAAGGGUUCAAAGUCAGUUUUUGUGUCCUCAUUUAUAGGUCAAAUUGCAUGCAAAUGUACUUGUUUUGCAGUUGCAACUACCACUUGUGUGUAGAUUCUCUGGAGAGAGCUUUGGUUUAAAAGGAAGAGAAAAUGCUACUCUACUGUUGACACUGGUGUAGCUAUUGGGGACAUUUUGCCUUCUGUGGAGGUCAGGAGUUGUUGCUGAUUCCCAGUGUUGGUGUAUGGGAUGCCUUCUAAAGCAGGCAGAGCACAUGACGCUUUUCAACACUCUUUUCGAUACUGAUUUGGCAUUCAGGGUCUAUCAAAGGAGAAAUCUUUCACAUGCAAUUAUGACAGAAAAUAAAGGUGAUGAAGUGUUGUAUACAAAGAAUGGAGAGAGAUCAAAGGACUGUAAUGAAAACUGAUUACAAUAAAAGAGCUGCUUCAACCCUGAGAACUCUACAGAACUGCUUGGGGCAUGACAACACACACACUUGCAUGCACAAAGAAGUUGCAGAUAAAAUCACAGGCACUAAUUCAUAGGAAUAAAUGAAGAAAACAAUACAUAGCUAUUUGCUUGGAUGUUUUUUAACAUUAAGGCACUAAAAUGACAUGAAGACAUGGGUCUAAUUUGGAAGAUUUUGAUUUCAUACUUCUGUAAAGGCUUCUUUAUUCAACUAUUGGACAUAAUGUGAAAGUUUUUUAAAUUUAUAACUUCUCUUCUGAUAAGAUUGCUUAUAGGAUAGAGGAAUGUUUUCAAUUCUUCUAUUGUUUUCUUGAAUAAUCUCCUCAGGGUCACAUACAGAAUAAGUCACUUAUCUAAGUUUAAAUAUUAGCAAGGAGACUGUUUAGUACUGUUAGUUGCAUAGCGAUGAAGAAAUUGAUCAAGUUUAACCCUCUAUCCUUUUGACUCCUGUUCUGAUUUGGACUAUUCAAAUGAAUUUUCAUUCACUUUGAAGUUUCUUUCCCAGAUUCCACAGUUGAGUACUGCAACCAUUUAUUGGGCAGUUUCAGUUGGCAAUUUUAUAUCUUCUCAAACUUAGGGCUGUUAUUUAUGUUAAGCACCUUUCACAUGGUUCAAAGUUAUGUGCAAUUGAGCUCUUAAUGUAUGUAUUUUUUAAUAAUUUGCAUAUAAAUUUGUAGUG
Gallus gallus (chicken) is the source of this 1203-nucleotide long non-coding RNA. NCBI's taxonomy places the organism in Eukaryota, Metazoa, Chordata, Aves, Galliformes, Phasianidae. The record is from Ensembl.